GUGUCUCUGAGAGGAAGAAGCUCUGCUGCAUGUUAUCGUGGCUGACUGUCAUGGUGUAAACGUCACGGAUCCCAGAGAAGCCAGACUCUACUCUGCAGUGCUGCUCCAGGGCCUGACACAAGACAGAGAGGGCAGGUCCCGUUUUCCCAGCAUCAGUCUGUUACUGUGAAGAUGGCAGAGAUCCAGAGGAGCAGCAGGAGUCUUCAUGGUAUCAGUAUUUAAGACACAGCUAAAUAGCAGCCACACACAUGCAAGAGCAAAUCUCACACUCUCUCUUUCCUGCAGACAGCUAAUCCAAGAGUUGCUAAGCACCAUACAUUCCCUUUAAUGAGUGAAGAGAAACCUGGUGGAUGACUAUGAAAGAGAAAGUCAGAGAAGCCUUUUGGGCCUGCAGCUCAAAAGUACUCCAAGCGUAUCAAGGAACCUGUUAUGUAAUGAGUCACAUUAGCUUACUGGAGAGGCUAAGGCGAAUGAACACUUGAGGAUGAAUCUGAAAAGCCCACCCAACAGUGGAGGGGGCAAAAAAAGCUUGAAAUUAGCAGAGGAGCUUAUUGUCAGGGCCAAGACAGAUGCCAGGGAGAGAAGAGAUCAAAUAAGGGUCUUUCCAAAAAUGUGGGAAGGCUUGUUGCUGGCAACUAUUCCUCUCUUUUUUCAUCCUCUCCUCCUUUCUUGCAUUUUUCUCCUGGGUACAUCUUCAGUCUGUUAGUGAAACCACAGCAGAACUCUUCUACUCUCCCUGAUUUAUAGGUUGGAGCCACAGUAAAUUUGCAUGUGGACUCAGAUUUUAUCACAAUGUUUGCUCUUGAAUACUUUACCACCAUUUCCUUUCCUUGUCCCUUUUCUUUCCAUUCUUUCUCCUGAAUUAAAACAAAGUGUGAUUAUCAGUACUGAACACACAGGCAGCUCCCAUGUCUGCUGCCUACCGCUGUGAGAAUAAGUUUAAUCCCUCCCUGCUCCUUAUUAGGCCUGUUAUGUCUCUGUUGAGGUGAAGCCAUCAAGAACGAUUUUUCUUUUGAGUCAGGGCAAAAUUAAAACGCCUGAGGCUCUUUUAAAAUGGAAUAUCGGUCUGCUAGACUCUUAAUGCCACCAUAACCUUUCUUUACAAGACAGAUAUAGUGUACCACAACAAUGAUGAACCAUAAAAUUUUACUGCUGUUUUAGAAGAGUCAGCAUGUGCUAUGUUGAAAAAUACAGAAUUAUAUGGAUCUAAAGAGUAUGAACACCAAGUAGAAAUUACUUCAGAUUUUGGAUGACAGCAAGCAAGACUAUUUUUUAUAAACGAUCAACGGUAAUAUGUCAUCAUCUCAUUAAAAAAUCAUUUACUACUCAACCAGAUCCUCUCUAGUUAGAGUUUAGCAACCUGACCUGAACAGGUUGGGUUCAGGCAUUUUCUUGUACAAAGCUUCAGGUCGGAUUAUUUUCAAAUGUAAUUUAAUAAGAAAAUUCUCUUUCUGACUUUGCCAAUCGCCUGCAACGACACGUAUCAUGUGUUGCAAGUAGAUAGGCAAUGCCCACUGGGAGGCGGGAAGAGAGACAGCGUAGCCAAUGCAAUGCAUUAGCCUGGCAAGCUAGCGGUCAGUAAUGGAUGAAAUAAAAAACUUGCAAAAGGCUUCUUAAAAUCCCUAUUGAUUUGGGGAGAGCCAUUGCAUUGUGGAAACUUCCUUAUUAUAACUGCCUGGACUGUUGUCAAGUUCAGCUAGGUUUUGCUAUAGUGUUACAUGCUAGUAAUUGACUACAAUGUGUGUAUUGCCACUAAACUUAUGGCUUAUCGCCUAGUGGAAAUUUGUGUUGGUCUAUUGUCAGAUUAGUUAUUUUCUAUUAGUGAGAAAGCCUUUCCAAAGCAAGUA
Siniperca chuatsi (mandarin fish) is the source of this 1847-nucleotide long non-coding RNA. RefSeq lists it as uncharacterized. The record is from RefSeq and is a predicted model, not a curated record. The transcript has 2 exons. Lineage: Eukaryota; Metazoa; Chordata; Actinopteri; Centrarchiformes; Sinipercidae.